AUCUUGGAGCUGCAGCGGAUUUGAGAGUAGGGAUCAAUUAUAUUCCAAAAGAGUUUCUUUUAGAUCCAAGGUUAUCUCCCUCCUACUCUGUGGAAUGAGUAGUUUGUGUAUGCGGAAGUGGAAAUUUCUUGUUCAAACAGCAGGAUCUCCCUCCUACUCUGUGGAAUAAGUAGUUUGUGUAUGCGGAAGUGGAAAUUUCUUGUUCAAACAGCAGGAACAUUCUAUUUUACUUGCACUAAUAAUGCCAGAUAUGUUUUUUAAAAAUUCUGUGACCUACUUUACAUUUUGUUUCUUGAAAUUAAUUAUACCCUUGAUAGACUAGCUUAUAGAAUUCAGCUCAUAUUAACGUCUUCUUAUCAUUCUUUUCGAAUAUUCAUUUCAAAAACAUCUCCAAUUUUUCCAGAGCCAACAUGCUUGUCGAUCCAUUUCCAAUUUUUGACUACAACAAUAAGACAUUUUGUUCCACCUACAUAUUUUCUGAAUUGAAUGUUCUUAAUCACACUUUUUGAUAUUUAUAACCAGAUCUCCUUGGACCUCGUACAUGAACCAUAGGCGCUAACCCUUAUAAGUUCUUAGAAGACUAUCAGGAAAAUCAACCUUAUAUUUGAGGUCCUUUCCAGACUGUUCAAGCUACUAAUUGAACGUUACAUGCCGUAAAUAAAAAAAUGUGGAACCAAACAGAGUAAUCUGCCUGAAAUUGAGGAUUGAAAUUUCAGAUUUUCCCUAUUUAUGGGUAUGUUAUGUACUUAAUAAUGAUAUGAGUACUUGUCUCGAACAUUCGGAGGUACAUUACCGGCAAUGAUGUUAUCCUAGAUGGCUUUGACAUUUGAUUAUGACAUGUUUCUGCUUGUUAUUUUUAAUGGUAUUAGGUAUAUUAUCUUAAUUUACUCGUGGAAGAGAUGGACAGAAUAUAAAUGAUUUUGUUCGUUAUUCAAUGUAUAACGAAGUGAAUCAAUCUCAUAUUUCACUGGACGUUUAAAGGAUCAAUUUAAGUUCCACUAUGUUAACCCAACUGUAUAUUGACUAUCCAGUUUGGUAUGCUCUUCGCUCUUACCUUUGUACCAUUAAAAGGUGAACAAAAAAUAGAUUUCAUUACAGCAUUCUAUGUUAUUGAUUAUCUGUCUUUCAGCAGACUUUCGGAUAAUAGCAUUUAUAACUUGGCAUAUCUAUAUUAGGACAAGAGGGGUUGCUCUGAUGGUAAGCAACCCCCACUUCCAAUCGAGAGGUUGUGAG
This 1233-nucleotide long non-coding RNA is filed under the name Nicotiana benthamiana. Its description in RNAcentral is "long non-coding RNA (NBEN_LNC004491)". Lineage: Eukaryota; Viridiplantae; Streptophyta; Magnoliopsida; Solanales; Solanaceae. The record is from RNAcentral.